CAUACAGCAUGUUCUUGAAGAUCCGGCUUGCUAUUAAAACCACCACUUAAUGUAGCCCAGAGGACUAGAGACACUGAAUGCAGUGGCAUUUACUGAAUCAUUUGGACAUGGGAGCAUUGCUUGUUUGCUCAGGCUGAUUGAGAUGGCAUGGAGCCAGGACUGUCAUUACUUCUAUACUGAGUACCUGGCUUCUUUGGGAUCUCAGUUCAAGCAAAAACACUUUCCAGUAAAUACUCAGGAGGUCAAAGGGACUGAGAAAUGGACAGCGGAAGUGAUUGGCGUGAAUGGAUCUUUGUGGCUACUGGCUACAUGUUGUCAUCAUGGUUAUUGGACCCGAGGGUACAGGAUUAGAAUCAGUCCUGGAGCAAAAAUAAGUAACUAAAACUGAGAGAUUUCAUUGCCAGCAAGCUGACAUUCUGAGAAUGCUAAAGGAAUUACUUCCAAGGAAGAGGAAAUGGCACCAGAUUGAAAAUCAAAUCUCCAGGAAAGAAUGAAGAGCACCAGAAAUGGGAAAUCUGUGGUUGAACAUAGAAGGAUAUUGGUAAAAUCUAACUAGUGGGGGUUGUUAAGAUGAGUUCCUGAAAAUUACAUUUGUCACAAAGAAAAAUGGUAAUAAAAGUUUCACUAUCAUUUUGUA
Phacochoerus africanus (Common warthog) is the source of this 637-nucleotide long non-coding RNA. RefSeq lists it as uncharacterized. The transcript is spliced from 4 exons. The record is from RefSeq and is a predicted model, not a curated record. Lineage: Eukaryota; Metazoa; Chordata; Mammalia; Artiodactyla; Suidae.